RNAcentral lists this ribosomal RNA (301 nucleotides) under uncultured bacterium. RNAcentral's name for it is "partial 16S ribosomal RNA". It matches the Rfam family "Bacterial small subunit ribosomal RNA", at positions 509 to 807 of the family's 1533-position model. The record is from RNAcentral.
CAGCCGCCGCGGUAAUACGAAGGGGGCUAGCGUUGCUCGGAAUGACUGGGCGUAAAGGGCGCGUAGGCGGUUUAUACAGUCAGAUGUGAAAUUCCUGGGCUCAACCUGGGGACUGCAUUUGAUACGUAUGGACUUGAGUGGAGAAGAGGGUUGUGGAAUUUCCAGUGUAGAGGUGAAAUUCGUAGAUAUUGGAAAGAACACCGGUGGCGAAGGCGGCAACCUGGUCUUUAACUGACGCUGAGGCGCGAAAGCGUGGGGAGCAAACAGGAUUAGAUACCCGCGUAGUCCCUGUCUCUUAUAC